CCCUUAGAUGUUCUGGGCCGCACGCGCGCUACACUGAACAGUUCAACAAGUCUUAACCUUGGCCGAUAGGUCUGGGCAAUCUUUGAACGCUGGUCGUGAUGGGGAUAGACUUUUGCAAUUUUUGGUCUUCAACGAGGAAUUCCUAGUAAACGCAAGUCAUCAACUUGCAUUGAUUACGUCCCUGCCCUUUGUACACACCGCCCGUCGCACCUACCGAUUGAAUGGUCCGGUGAAGCCUCCGGAUUGGCGCGCACCUCGGUGCCGCCGAGAAGUUGGCUAAACCUUACCAUUUAGAGGAAGGUGAAGUCGUAACA
RNAcentral lists this ribosomal RNA (314 nucleotides) under uncultured eukaryote. Its description in RNAcentral is "partial 18S ribosomal RNA". It matches the Rfam family "Eukaryotic small subunit ribosomal RNA", at positions 1470 to 1796 of the family's 1831-position model. The record is from RNAcentral.